GGGAUAUCAUAUUGUCUGUUAUGUUGGAUAAAAAUAAUAAUUACUUGAUAAAAUUUAGAGUUAGUUUUAUCUGAUAGCUUCUUGGAGGUAUUAUCUAAUUUUGAAAUUAUUUUAUUUUAUUAUUAUACUAAAAUAAUAAAAUUAUUAUUAUACUAAAAUAAUAAAAUUAUUAUUUCAUAUAAAAGCUGAGAUAAAAUUAUCUC
RNAcentral lists this long non-coding RNA (203 nucleotides) under Capsicum annuum. RNAcentral describes it as "long non-coding RNA (CANN_LNC019330)". The record is from RNAcentral. Lineage: Eukaryota; Viridiplantae; Streptophyta; Magnoliopsida; Solanales; Solanaceae.